This 804-nucleotide ribosomal RNA is filed under the name uncultured bacterium. Its description in RNAcentral is "bacterial SSU rRNA". It matches the Rfam family "Bacterial small subunit ribosomal RNA", at positions 28 to 818 of the family's 1533-position model. The record is from RNAcentral.
GACGAACGCUGGCGGCGUGCCUAACACAUGCAAGUGGAGCGACGAACCAGGCUUCGGCCUGGGGCAAAGCCGCGAACGGGUGAGUAACACGUGGGUAACCUGCCCCGACGACCGGGACAACCCGAGGAAACUCGGGCUAAUACCGGAUGUGCUCCCCACGCGAAAGCGUGGUGAGUAAAGGAAGCUUCGGCCUCCGCAUCGGGAGGGGCCCGCGGCCCAUUAGCUAGUUGGUGAGGUAACGGCUCACCAAGGCGACGAUGGGUAGCUGGUCUGAGAGGACGAUCAGCCACACUGGGACUGAGACACGGCCCAGACUCCUACGGGAGGCAGCAGUGGGGAAUCUUGCGCAAUGCGCGAAAGCGUGACGCAGCAACGCCGCGUGGGGGAAGAAGGCCUUCGGGUUGUAAACCCCUUUCAGGAGGGACGAAGGUGCGGCGGCGAAUAGCCGUCCGCACUGACGGUACCUCCAGAAGAAGCCCCGGCUAACUACGUGCCAGCAGCCGCGGUAAUACGUAGGGGGCAAGCGUUGUCCGGAAUCAUUGGGCGUAAAGCGCGCGUAGGCGGCCCGGUAAGUCCGCUGUGAAAGUCAAAGGCUCAACCUUUGAAUGCCGGUGGAUACUGCCGGGCUAGAGUCCGGAAGAGGCGAGUGGAAUUCCUGGUGUAGCGGUGGAAUGCGCAGAUAUCAGGAGGAACACCGAUAGCGAAGGCAGCUCGCUGGGACGGUACCGACGCUGAGGCGCGAAAGCGUGGGGAGCGAACAGGAUUAGAUACCCUGGUAGUCCACGCCGUAAACGAUGGGCACUA